RNAcentral lists this non-coding RNA (178 nucleotides) under Thermosediminibacter oceani. Lineage: Bacteria; Bacillati; Bacillota; Clostridia; Thermosediminibacterales; Thermosediminibacteraceae. RNAcentral also lists the same sequence under 1 other name. The record is from RNAcentral.
GAAAUUUGAAACCUUCAAGGUGCCCCUUUUUGGGGAGAAUAGGGAAGUCCGGUGAAAGUCCGGCGCGGUCCCGCCACUGUAACGGGAAGCCGCCUUAUAAGAUGCCACUGGGAAACCGGGAAGGCAUAAGGCGGCGAUGAACCGGAGCCAGGAGACCUGCCUUGAAAGGUAGUGUCCG